Molecule: non-coding RNA, 2411 nt
Organism: Manis javanica (Malayan pangolin)
Lineage: Eukaryota; Metazoa; Chordata; Mammalia; Pholidota; Manidae
Source: RefSeq, a predicted model, not a curated record
GCGUGUCGGUGGGUGCGGGCCUCGGCGAAGGGGUGGGGCCGUGACACAAAGGAGGUCUUGGCGCCUAGCGGCUCGCGUCUCCGUGGGGCUUCCAGGAGCUGGGGAGCUUUCCUGUUGCCGGGCUGGUGUCUGUUCCUCUGAUCCGUGGAGUCGCUCACCGUCCAGCAGUCUCGCGUCGGCCGGGCGACCCAUGGACAGCGUGUGCCAGAGUAUUGGCGGGGGAGGUGCAGGGCUGUGGGGAGUGGUUGCGUUGAAGCUGCUGGUGGUCCUCAGCUAACUGGGGAGCGUGUCUGAGGCCCAGGAAGUUACCGAUGCUGGAAGGGGAAGCCCUGGGCCCAGAACCGCCUAGAGCUGGAAGCCAACAGUAACUCUGGGAAAAAACCCAACCGUUAAGGUGGUUUAAUUUUGGCCAAGAAGAUGAACAGGAAAGACAGCCAAAUCAUUGCAGAAUGAAGAGAAGGGCGCUGUAGGGUUUAUUUAUUUAUUUUUAAAUGAAAAUGGGAAGAAGCAAGAUUUGUAGUCUGGUGCUACCUGGAGGCCCCCCACUCCUCAAUCUGAUAAUCAUCCAUAUUUUGCUUGUUUCUCUUACCCAAGCUCACAUACUCCACUUGCAGCUGGAAGCAGGGAUCCCAUAUCUGCUUCCUGAGAAGUGGUAUUUGCAGAGGUUUUAUUUGUCUGCUCAGGCAAAUGUAACAAAAUACCACAGACUAGGUAUCUUAAACCAGAAAUCUAUUUUCUCAGAGUGCUGAAUCCGAGAAGUCCAAGACCAAAGUGCCAGCAGGGUUGGAUCUGGUGAGGCCUCUCUUCUUGGCUCUUAGACAGCUGUCCUUUUGCCGUAUUCUCACAUGGCCUAUUGUGUGGCACUCAGAGGGCGAAGAUACAGGGAGAGAGCUCUGGUGUCUCCUCCACUUCUUAGAGAGACACCAGUCCUAUCAGAUUAGGGCCCCAUCCCUGUGACCUCAUUUAAUCUUUAUUACUUCUGUAGAGGCCUUAUCUCUAAAUACAGUCACAUUGGGGAUUAGGACUUAUCAUAUACCUUUUGAGGGACACACUUCAGUCCAUAACAAUCAGUAUAGGAGAAAAACGAUGGAGUGAAUUCUAGAGUAGUCACACUCUGAUGUUGGAAGUGCAAGGUGAGCCGCUGUAAAAAACGUACCUUUCAAGUCGAAGUAGGAUGUUAGUACUGGAGGCUAAAGGGAAGUCCCACAUCUUCGACAGAUGAUUGAGUCUUUGGCAGAGAAAACCCAGAACAUGGUCAGUUACAGUCUUUUCUAUCUGCCAGCCAUUGCUUCCAGGUAGUGGUGAUUCUGAAGUGAAUAUCUAUCACAACCUAAUUUACUGCAUGGAAUCAGGAAUUUGGAGUUGAAAAGCAGCACUCCCAAAACCCGAAAAGUACCGUGCUGUCAUGUAAAAUAAAGAUUACUGCCCCAGGAGACAGGAGAUCUGAUAUGUCUCCUUUGUUCUGCUGCUAACCAGAUGUGAGUUCGUUAACCAUCUGUAUUCUACCCCAUAUGGCGGUGUCAUGUGUCCUCAGCCCCAGAGUUCGUUUGUUUUAGCCACAACCAGACACAGGUCUGUUGGUUACCAGUCUCUUAAUUGGUCUGACCAUCACAAUCUAUAUGAUGCCUGACAACUGCUGAGAAAUAAUGGUCCACUUCCUUUUUGAGAAGAGUGGAAAACCCCAGAGAAACAGACCAUCAGGGGGAUGCCAGCCAGCUCCCAGGAGUGAGGUGGGGGGAAGAGUGUGCUGAUGGCAGACAUUAGGAGGGAGGGCAGAAGGUGCCACCACUGGUUCUACAUCAUCACAGAGAAUGGUUGGGCAUAGAGCAGGGAGUGGUGUGGCGAUGGAGCAGCAGCAGGUGGAGAGAAUGCCUUUGUUGAGCAAUUAGAGUGGGAGAUACCAUUUUGAUUUUGUAAAUAUGUGUAUGAGAGUGCAUUAAAUUUUAAACAAGGGAGAUAAAUAAUGUUUUCUUUUGUUUCUGAUGAGAUUUUUUUCUGUAAUAUUAAGGAAGUCAAUAUGAUGAUAAAUGGAGCACUGGUGCUGAACUCCAGACCCAGGGUUAAAGAGUUGAAAAGGGAGACUCGAGAAGCUAUCCUCACCGUAAGAGACUGAGAUGCCUGCCCACUGCUGAGCCCUCCGGUGCAACGUGGCCGAUGUAAUCUGGGCCCUGUUAAUCUAAUAGUGUUCAAUCUAAUAGUGUGAUUCUUUGUUGUAUUAAGCCCCCUGGUCCUUGUGGCAGCACAGUGAGAAGAAACGGGGCAGCUGUGACGCGGGGCCCCUGUGGAGGGCACUUCACUAAUAUAAAGAGCAACAGUUAUCAGUUUUGAAGAACUUCCUCUACUGGCACUGUGCUUUGACCUGGGUUUAUAGUGCUGAGGCAAAAAUAGAAAUAAAAAUAGACAUGGCUGCA